This 334-nucleotide ribosomal RNA is filed under the name Enterococcus faecium. Its description in RNAcentral is "bacterial LSU rRNA". It matches the Rfam family "Bacterial large subunit ribosomal RNA", at positions 1 to 330 of the family's 2925-position model. Lineage: Bacteria; Bacillati; Bacillota; Bacilli; Lactobacillales; Enterococcaceae. The record is from RNAcentral.
GAUAAGGUUAAGUGAAUAAGGGCGCACGGUGGAUGCCUUGGCACUAGGAGCCGAUGAAGGACGGGACUAACACCGAUAUGCUUUGGGGAGCUGUACGUAAGCUAUGAUCCAGAGAUUUCCGAAUGGGGGAACCCAGCAUCUUUAAUAGGAUGUUACGAUUGUGUGAAUACAUAGCACAUUCGAGGUAGACGCAGAGAACUGAAACAUCUAAGUACCUGCAGGAAGAGAAAGAAAAUUCGAUUCCCUGAGUAGCGGCGAGCGAAACGGGAAAAGCCCAAACCAACAAGCUUGCUUGUUGGGGUUGUAGGACUCCGAUAUGGUCGUUCUUUCAGAU